CUAAAGSUCUGUGGUGRAAGCCCGRAGCUUAACUUCKGUAAGCGAUGGAAACCSUAGAGCUAGAGUGUGUGAGAGGAUCGUGGAAUUCSAUSUGUAGCGGUGAAAUGCGKAGAUAUAUGGAGGAACACCAGUGGCGAAGGCGACGAUCUGGCGCACAACUGACGCUCAGUCCCGAAAGCGUGGGGAGCAAAUAGGAUUAGAUACCCUAGUAGUCSACGCCGUAAACGAUGAGUACUAAGUGUUGGGAGUSAAAUCUCAGUGCUGCAGUUAACGCAUUAAGUACUCCGCCUGAGUAGUACGUUCGCAAGAAUGAAACUCAAAGGAAUUGACGGGGGCCCGMCACAAGCGGUGGAGCAUGUGGUUUAAUUCGAAGCAACGCGAAGAACUUACCAGGUCUUGACAUCGAUCUAAAGGGGAUAGAGAUAUCCAGAUAGCUAUAGAGAAGACAGGUGGUGCAUGGUUGUCGUCAGCUCGUGUCGUGAGAUGUUGGGUUAAGUCCCGCAACGAGCGCAACCCUYGUCGCUAGUUACCAUCAUUAAGUUGGGGACUCUAGCGAGACAGCCGGUGACAAGCCGGAGGAAGGCGGGGAUGACGUCAAAUCAUCAUGCCCCUUAUGACCUGGGCUACACACGUGCUACAAUSGACAGAGCAGAGGGAAGCGAAGCCGCGAGGUGGAGCGAAACCCAUAAAACUGUUCUCAGUUCGGACUGCAGUCUSCAACUCGACUGCACGAASUUSGAAUCGCUAGUAAUCGCGAAUCAGCAUGUCGCGGUGAAUACGUUCUCGGGCCUUGUACACACCGYSYGUSAYANSAUGAGAGUSGGUAA
Molecule: ribosomal RNA, 827 nt
Filed under: Clostridium sp. cTPY-2-4
Lineage: Bacteria; Bacillati; Bacillota; Clostridia; Eubacteriales; Clostridiaceae
Description: partial 16S ribosomal RNA
Rfam family: Bacterial small subunit ribosomal RNA
Source: RNAcentral